GCUUGAUCCAAGCAAUCACUGCACCGGUGCAAGACUGUCGCUGUGUUGGAGUGUCCAAUACUCAAAUCCCUUUUACUGAAAUUAAGAAUUACAGCAUUCAAAACGACAAAAAAUGUUCCGUCAACGCAGUAGUGUUUACGAGAGUGAAUAAGAAGAUAAUUUGCUCUGACCCCAACAGCAGAUGGGCAAAGUCAGUCAUUCAGAGGCUGAAGUCAAAACCAAAACCAAACAGGCAGUCAACAAUAAAACCAAAGGUGUUCUUACCAACAGAACCAAACCUGAAC
This is a long non-coding RNA of Austrofundulus limnaeus, 284 nucleotides long. RefSeq lists it as uncharacterized. The record is from RefSeq and is a predicted model, not a curated record. NCBI's taxonomy places the organism in Eukaryota, Metazoa, Chordata, Actinopteri, Cyprinodontiformes, Rivulidae. The transcript has 3 exons.